AGAGCAAAACCAGAAUGAGAACAAAGUAAAUAAACCUUACACUGAUUCUUCAUGCGGAAAAAUGAAAUUAAUCACCAGACCAAGAAUGGAAACCUCGACGGAACUACGAUCCAAACCUCAACGCUCAUCGGAACCAAUGAUGUUACUACUAUAACGAUGGAGAUGCUAGAACUACGGCCACAUGACACACGCGAAGGGAUGCCGACGAAUAGAUUCUGGCCAAACUCAGCACAAAAAAAUGUUACAAAAUCCAUAACAUGUUAGAUCUACAUCCAUCCGGCAUAGAAGUAGAGCAUGUGGGAACAAUGGUGAUGAGACAGUGGACUGUUUUCUGCUCGUUCAUUGUUGACGAUGCGACUCCGACGAUACAAAAAUAGUAGAGGGUGGAGAAAGGGAAAGAAACAACGGCGAUGAGGGAUAUCAGCAACUGCUCCGGCGAUGAGUGUUGUGUGCGUGUGUGGUAGUCGGAGUUGUGGUGGUGACAAAUGGAGGUGGAGAUAGGAUCGUUUUAUUCAUUGUGGAGAUUGGGGACUGGCUGGCUUUGUGAGGCCGGGGUGGCGGCUGUUGGUUGCGUGGAGUCCUCUAGGGUUCAACUAGGGUGUUGCAUGGUUAAAGAUGAUGUCUGAUGGGUGGGAGAAGAGUUGAAGAAGUUGCACGACUGGUUUCCGGCGAGGGUUGUUUGGGUUGAAGUUGCAGAGAACAUUGGAGAUGGUCGUUUUUGUGUAUUCUGCGCAGCUGCACUAAAUUUUUUUCCAGGCGUCCCCUUGUCCUGUAUAAUGUGUAUUGGCGUCUAUAUCUCUUGUCCCUAUCCGUAUAUGUGUGUUAGGGCUUUUAGAUGGGGAAAUGGGUUUGGGUAUUGGGUUGGAUCGGGUCGACUUGGUUUGGGGUUGGUAGGGAUUAAUUUGGAUUGCAUUGAAAAGAGAAAUUGUAUUGGGCUUGAAUUUUAGUAAGAUUUUGGCCCAAAAAUAUGAUUCACCUCUUUUGUUUUCAUAUUUUCUAAUUUCUUUUAAAUUAAAACUAAAAAUAAC
Molecule: long non-coding RNA, 1028 nt
Filed under: Nicotiana benthamiana
Lineage: Eukaryota; Viridiplantae; Streptophyta; Magnoliopsida; Solanales; Solanaceae
Description: long non-coding RNA (NBEN_LNC022355)
Source: RNAcentral